CUUGAAUAUCUAUAAGAGGUCCAGCCUGCCCAGUGACUCUGUUCAACGGCCGCGGUAUCCUAACCGUGCGAAGGUAGCGUAAUCACUUGUUCUUUAAAUGAGGACUAGUAUGAAUGGCACCACGAGGGUUAUACUGUCUCCUUUUUCUAAUCAGUGAAACUAAUCUCCCCGUGAAGAAGCGGGGAUUAAAAUAUAAGACGAGAAGACCCUAUGGAGCUUUAAACUUAAUAACAAGUACUAUCUUUUAUUUAACUUUCAGAACAUAUACCUUUAUUCUAGUAUUAUGAUUAUUAGUUUUAGGUUGGGGUGACCGCGGAGCAAAAAUCAACCUCCACAUUGAACGGAACUCAUUCCUGAGCAAAAAGCCACGACUUUAAGCACCAACAAAUUGACAUCAAUUGACCCAAUAUUUUGAUCAACGAAC
RNAcentral lists this ribosomal RNA (424 nucleotides) under Trachycephalus cunauaru group sp. ABGD cluster 17. RNAcentral's name for it is "partial large subunit ribosomal RNA". It matches the Rfam family "Bacterial large subunit ribosomal RNA", at positions 1834 to 2439 of the family's 2925-position model. The record is from RNAcentral. Lineage: Eukaryota; Metazoa; Chordata; Amphibia; Anura; Hylidae.